UACAGAGGCCUCGAGCGUUGCGCGGAAUCACUGGGCUUAAAGGGUGCGUAGGCGGAUGUGCAAGUGCCUUGUGAAAUCCCCGGGCUCAACCCGGGAACUGCUUGGUAGACUGCAUGUCUUGAGGUCGGUAGGGGUUGCUGGAACAGUUGGUGGAGCGGUGAAAUGCGUAGAUAUCAACUGGAACGCCAAAGGCGAAGGCAAGCAACUGGGCCGAUUCUGACGCUGAGGCACGAAAGCGUGGGGAGCAAAC
RNAcentral lists this ribosomal RNA (250 nucleotides) under uncultured bacterium. Its description in RNAcentral is "partial 16S ribosomal RNA". It matches the Rfam family "Bacterial small subunit ribosomal RNA", at positions 524 to 773 of the family's 1533-position model. The record is from RNAcentral.